GAACAGAAGGGUGCCGGUUCCCUUCCGCGUGCUUGGUAUUUUCCCCGCAGGGCUCUGACCGCUCCCGCUCUCAGGCACCUGUCUUUCCUCUCCGUCCCAGAAUGGAGCCAAGACAAGGGAAUAAAGGAAAUUCAAUAGUACACGGAGAUCGGGUGUCUGGGCAGCGUCUUGGAAAAACUAUCCACACUACAGGACCCCCCCAUAAACCAAAUGCAUAAUCAUAAUGGCUCCUUGCUGUUCCAGAUAGUUGAGAAUGCCAAAUAGGCCUAUUUCUACCUUUGUAAAAUAACUCACCAGCAUCCAGAAGUUUCCUCACACGCAAA
This is a long non-coding RNA of Piliocolobus tephrosceles (Ugandan red Colobus), 323 nucleotides long. RefSeq lists it as uncharacterized. Lineage: Eukaryota; Metazoa; Chordata; Mammalia; Primates; Cercopithecidae. The record is from RefSeq and is a predicted model, not a curated record. The transcript has 3 exons.